Molecule: ribosomal RNA, 459 nt
Filed under: uncultured bacterium
Lineage: Bacteria
Description: partial 16S ribosomal RNA
Rfam family: Bacterial small subunit ribosomal RNA
Source: RNAcentral
CUACGGGCUGCUGCAGUGAGGAAUAUUGGUCAAUGGUCGCAAGACUGAACCAGCCAUGCCGCGUGCAGGAAGACGGUCCUAUGGAUUGUAAACUGCUUUUAUACAGGAAGAAACCCUCCCACGUGUGGGAGCUUGACGGUACUGUAGGAAUAAGGAUCGGCUAACUACGUGCCAGCAGCCGCGGUAAUACGGGGGAUCCAAGCGUUAUCCGGAAUCAUUGGGUUUAAAGGGUCCGUAGGCGGCCUUAUAAGUCAGUGGUGAAAGCCCAUCGCUCAACGAUGGAACUGCCAUUGAUACUGUAAGGCUUGAAUUUUUGUGAAGUAACUAGAAUAUGUAGUGUAGCGGUGAAAUGCUUAGAUAUUACAUGGAAUACCAAUUGCGAAGGCAGGUUACUAACAAACGAUUGACGCUGAUGGACGAAAGCGUGGGGAGCGAACAGGAUUAGAUACCCUAGUAGUC